Long non-coding RNA from Alligator sinensis (Chinese alligator), 1164 nucleotides. RefSeq lists it as uncharacterized. The transcript has 2 exons. The record is from RefSeq and is a predicted model, not a curated record. Lineage: Eukaryota; Metazoa; Chordata; Crocodylia; Alligatoridae.
UGAAAGGGCAGCAUUCCUGGCUAGUAGAAAUCAAUUAGAUGAGGCUGGAGAUUAAUCUCACCCCUGGAGUCCUACCUGGUGUUUGCAUAUUAUGCAUCCAAUCAAUCAAGCUGGCUAUCAGCUGGGCUGUGAACAACUCCUGUGAUUAGCACCAGAUGGGGUGACAGGAGCAAACAGGAGACCAUGCUAAUGAGCCAGACAGCGUCUACAGGUCUGUUUCCUUCUGUUCCUCUGCCCAGCUCUUUACCACCUUCCUCUCCCCAGGGCUCAGCCUUGCCUUUCCUUUCCUUCCCCAUGUCCUAAUCCCUUCCCAGCCAUCCUCUCGUCUACCCCCGUUAAUCACUGAUCUGGGUGCUCAGCCACGUGGAAGAGAUUUCACCUUUUCCAGUUGGCUCCUAUGCUCUGAGCAGCUGCCGGCACUUAGCAGCGAGGCAGAGAACCAACACUCAGCGGAUAAUCGCCCCGCAUGUUUCUACAGCAGCGGUUCUCAACCUUUUUAGGCUCAAGAACCCCCUCGUUAGACUCAUGGCUGCCCUCAGAAAACGUCGGCUCUUUCGCUUCUUCUUUUGACGGCAGGAAAAACAGCACCUUCCCGAGGUCCAGAGAAGAGCUGUACGAGGACAGACCGGUCAGCUUAGAAAAGAGACGCUCGAAGGGGCACACGAGAAGGGCUUACAAAAUGCUAAAUGACAAGAGAAAGUCAACAGGGAUUUAUGGACGUUCCCUCACUACAAAAGAAACAAACUCUUCCCGUGUCUCCCAAGGCGUUAUGAUUGCUUAUAGUUGGUCCGCUUGUAGGCUCAGAAUCGUGGUUUGGGGCAUUAGCUGGUGGCAGCAGGGGUGACGACGUGAACGCUUCUGCCGCCACACGGCCCCCGCUUCUGCCACAAAACGAGAUGAGGAGGCAGUCUUUUGUACACGGCGCGUCGGUGACGGGCGCAACUCGUGGCCAGCGGUGGCGGAAGCUAAAUGCAGCCACGUUGUAGCGGGAAAGGGGUCGCUACGGAGCCUCCGCCUCGCAACGGCCCAGGCUUCAGCACCCGCUGUCCGCCGCCUUUUAACGCAGGCCUGUUUGUUAUGGCCCGGGGGGCCUCGCCUGGCCUACGACAGCCCUCCCUCGAGGAGGCCGCGGGGGACAGAGCUGACCCCCUGGGACAAAUACAA